UACGUAGGGUGCAAGCGUUGUCCGGAAUUAUUGGGCGUAAAGAGCUCGUAGGCGGCUUGUCGCGUCGGUUGUGAAAGCCCGGGGCUUAACCCCGGGUCUGCAGUCGAUACGGGCAGGCUAGAGUGUGGUAGGGGAGAUCGGAAUUCCUGGUGUAGCGGUGAAAUGCGCAGAUAUCAGGAGGAACACCGGUGGCGAAGGCGGAUCUCUGGGCCAUUACUGACGCUGAGGAGCGAAAGCGUGGGGAGCGAACAGG
This 253-nucleotide ribosomal RNA is filed under the name uncultured bacterium. Its description in RNAcentral is "partial 16S ribosomal RNA". It matches the Rfam family "Bacterial small subunit ribosomal RNA", at positions 524 to 776 of the family's 1533-position model. The record is from RNAcentral.